Tetranychus urticae (two-spotted spider mite) is the source of this 2969-nucleotide non-coding RNA. The record is from RefSeq and is a predicted model, not a curated record. NCBI's taxonomy places the organism in Eukaryota, Metazoa, Arthropoda, Arachnida, Trombidiformes, Tetranychidae.
CCGUUACUAACAAAAAGCUAUUCUUUUGUGGCAAGUUUUAGCUUUUUUCCCUUUCCAUUUUACAUUGUAUAAUUUUUAUUGUGUUUAAAUCGUUAUUCACUUAUUUCAUUUUUAUUGUUAAACAUUGAUUGUUAUGUCAAAUUUACAAUUUACCGGCCUUGAUGUUACAACAAAACAAGUGAAUGCAUGUGUUAUAUAAAACGUGAAGAGAUGAGUUUCAACCAUUUGACUUUCAUGUCAAUCACUUUGACCACAUUGGAAAUGUUCAACUAUACCUUUCCAUUAACCAGCUGAUCUGGUUCACUGAAUUAUUGAAUUCUCAUGAUCAGCAUGAUAUCUUUGGCCAAACUUGGAAACUUGGCUAUCUCCAUCUGAUGGAUAAAGUAACCCCAAAAUAGCAUGUUACAGGAAUUACAUUACAAAAACCAUUCCUUUGUGGAUUUACCUUUAAUUUGCUAUUAUUUCCAUUCAAUUUUAUCCUCUUUUACUCUGUUUGUGUUCACAUUAAUUUCAACUGUGAUCAUCAGGUAAACCUUUUCAUGGGCUUUAUCAGCAUCCUCAUUCACAUCAUCAUCAACAUUAACAUCUUUUUGUAUUUAUUUAUUGAUUUGGAAAUGUAUUCAACAUCAAACAGAAGCCAAAUAGCACUUGGAACUGCAGACAAUUAGACUGAUUAUGUAUUGAUAGCUAAUGAUAGCUGUAAUAACAGUUAUUGUUGUUUACCAAUGAUGAAAGGAAAAACUUAAAACCUGGAAAGAUAAAGUUCAUUUACCUUGAAUUGGGAUAAAAAAGUGCAACAAACAGACACAGACAAACAAACACACACACACAAAAGGUGUAAAAUGGAAAAAAGGAACCAUUUAAAGUUUACAGUUGCCAGUUAAAUUACCAGAGCAAUUUAAACAUUGUAUAGUUGUAAUUGUGAUAUGCAUUUAGACUUGCAAUACUAACAAUGUGUAAUGGUAAAGUAAUAAGUGAGAAGUAAAAAAAGCAGAUGAAUGAAAUGACGCUGAUGAUGGGAGAUGAAGAAGACAUCAGGAAAAAAAAAUAACAAGUAAACUAUAAGGAAAAAUAAAAGAAAACAAAAUGAACCUAUCAGAUUUUACAUUUAAGAGUAAAAUUUGUGUACUCAGAAACUCAUGAAUGAUUAUCAAAAUUAAGUGCGACAAUUAACUGUAAUCUGAUUCUCAGGCUUUCCCAUUUCACUCACUCACCAUUUUCAAUGUUUAAAAUUAGGUUUCCUCCUUGAUUUAGCAAAGCUUUUUCUCCCUUCAUUUCUCUUUGAUCAUCAUCAUCUUUAUCACUAUCUAUAUCACUAUCUAUUACUCUCUUGAAGGCUCUUAAUUGUUACCCUUAACCGGAUUAAAGAUAAAUUAAACUAUCUUACCCAUCCAUUAACAAAAACAAGAUUGGCAUUUGCUUGUAACCCAAUGGUAACUAUAUUACAAUAUAACAAGAGAUUACAGGCAGGUCUUGAUGAAAAUGAUGAGAAUGAGAAGGAUGAUGAUGAUGAUAUGAGAAGGAUGAAGAGAGGAAUACAAUUGAGAAUCAAGUUACAGGUACAAAAGUCAACUAGUCUAAUGUUUAAUUUUAAAUCGUAUAAAAUGCAAUAUCAAGUAACCUACCCUGGAUCCUUUCAAUAUAUCUCUUAUAUCUCCUCAUUAUUGACCUUAACAUUGUUUAAUUUUGUCUCAAAAUCGAACCCUGAACUUUUCUGAUUUUUAUCGGUAAAAGUAAAGAUUGAAAAAACAAAAUUUCUAACAAUUUUGCAAUUUUUAAAUCAAAAACCAUCAGAUUUAUAGAUCGCGCCUUAAAACUGAUAAUCCAUGUUAAUUGGUUAACUCUUUCCCUUUCUUUCUUGUCUUUCUAUUUUUCUUUAACCUCUGAAUGUAUGACUUGACUAAAAUAAUGUUUCUUAAAAUUAUUGGUUCCAUAUUUACCGUGUUGAUCUAAUUAGAUUGCGAGGAAACAAAGUUAAAUAGUCAUUUGAUCAACCGAGAUUAAGUUGACCCUUAUUUUGCCUAAACUGAUGUUGAUCUUUUCAUUGAAAGUGUCAACAACUUUUCCUUAGUGCUUGUGGCUUCUUCAAUAUCUCAUCUUUGAUGUUACCAAGGCUUACCAAUCGAUGAUGUCUAUAAAUAAGGUGAGAAGACCCAACUGAAAGGAAACAAUACAAUAUAUCAACUGUUUCAUCCAAUGGAUAUUCCUCAAUAAAUACCCACAAGGAUAUAUCAAUCAUUUGAUUUUUGCCGUGUGUCCAUCUGUGUAUCAAUGAUUGCCAGGAAAUGACCAGAGUCACCUUUUUUUCAACUUCAUGGGUCAACUGAUAAAAAGGACGAUUUGAUGAAGAUGAAUUUUGUUUUAAGUCUUUACUCCAUUAUCCUUGCUGAUAAUACUUUAAUUGUGACUGCUUGAGAACAUUAAUUAACUGCCAUUUUUUACUCUCCUAUCCAAAUAUUUUCAUUGUAAAACUGACAACUUGAUUAUCUUAAUUUCUUGUCAUUGUAUCAUCAUUAAGUUAACCAAGGUUCUCACAGCGCAAUGAGUAUGAUGAUUCACAUCAAGUUAAUUAUCAUCAAUGUAAACCAUUGAUUAGACACAUUAAUUAUUUCUCUUAAUCUGCCUCUAUUCUGGUAGAAUCACCAAGAUGAAUGAAGCAGAGCACAUAUAAAGCCUGUAAAAAGUUGCAAUAUCUUAAUGAAUAUGUUUAGUGUACAUUAACCUUAACCAUACAAUGAAACUCUAUGGUUGUCUCUUAAUUGUAAAUUGUAUCAAAAAAAACUAGUUACUCUGAUUAGCUUAAUUAAAAUUUUGAGUGUACAUUGUCUAAGAAUGUGCCAAAUGUAAAAAGGCAUCAAUCAAAAUACUAAAGAGGAUGAAAUUGUAAUUGAAAAGGCUAUCAAAAAAGGAAAGCACAUGAUGAAAAUGUAAUAAUGUUAAUUCAAUAGUAAAGUUAUUUUAAUUUAAAA